GACGAACUGUCCUAACGUUGUUCGGAAUCACUGGGCUUAAAGGGCGCGUAGGCGGUCGACCAAGUCAGGGUGAAAUCCUGCAGCUUAACUGUAGAAGUGCCUUUGAUACUGGUCGUCUGGAGGGAGAUAGGGUGUGUGGAACUUCCAGUGGAGCGGUGAAAUGCGUUGAUAUUGGAAGGAACGCCGGAGGCGAAAGCGACGCACUGGAUCUCUACUGACGCUGAGGCGCGAAAGCUAGGGGAGCAAACGGG
RNAcentral lists this ribosomal RNA (251 nucleotides) under uncultured bacterium. RNAcentral's name for it is "partial 16S ribosomal RNA". It matches the Rfam family "Bacterial small subunit ribosomal RNA", at positions 524 to 776 of the family's 1533-position model. The record is from RNAcentral.